GAACAGACUAAUUAUGAUACAAGAUACAAGUGAGCUGCGUUGGUCAAUGAACUCGAGGCGAUAUUGUGCGCGCCAGCUGCAAGCGAGCGCGCAAUAAGAAAGCCAAUGUGUUUAAUGAGUAAUGACGUAAUGACCAUAGCACACGUGUUUGAAAUUUGAAACGACGUUUUUUAACACACUUGCAAGAAAAAAGAACAAAACUGAUCAUGGUAUUGAAUAAGUGUUGCUAUUGCUUAGAAUUGCGCACAGGGUGCGCUAUAAUCUCGGUCAUAUACGUUAUAACAAGCUUGCCUCUUGCCUACGUAUACACAACACUCGACGAAUCAAUGGGAAGAAGAAAAUGAAAAAUUUAGAUGUUAUUUAAUAGUUUCGGUUGUAUUGGCACUUUGCAUACAUUUGUUUGAGGGCAUUUGGAUAAUUGCUUUCACACAUAAAUACGCUUACACUGUACCUCUCUUAGUUGUCCCGGCAGUUUAUGAUUUGUACGCUCUACUUGUGACGUACAGUUUUUUAAAGGAAAAGGAGUAACGUAAAUUUUUAAAAGGAAGAUAGUUUAUGAUUUGUAUGCUCUACUUGUGUCGUACAGUAAUUACAAGGAAGUACGUGACACACCACGUGCCCCGUAAUGAAGUUGUCGCAUUUUUUACACCAAAUCCGUAACUAUUAGUAUUUUCCUCAACU
This is a long non-coding RNA of Cydia splendana, 681 nucleotides long. RefSeq lists it as uncharacterized. The record is from RefSeq and is a predicted model, not a curated record. NCBI's taxonomy places the organism in Eukaryota, Metazoa, Arthropoda, Insecta, Lepidoptera, Tortricidae. The transcript has 5 exons.